Molecule: ribosomal RNA, 278 nt
Filed under: uncultured archaeon
Lineage: Archaea
Description: partial 16S rRNA
Rfam family: Archaeal small subunit ribosomal RNA
Source: RNAcentral
GAGACCUGUAUCCAUAAUUGCCAGCAGCAGAAUUUCUAGACUGGGCACAUUAUGGGGACUGCCCUGGAAACAGGGAGGAAGGUGCAGGCUACGGUAGGUCUGUAUGCUCCGAAUCUUCUGGGCAACACGCGCGCAACAAUGGUAGAGACAAUGGGAUGCAACUCCGAAAGGAGAAGCUAAUCCUCGAAACUCUAUCCUAGUUCAGAUUGAGGAUUGUAACUCAUCCUCAUGACGUUGGAAUCCCUAGUAAUCAGGUUUUAGCACAGCCCGGUGACUAU